This is a long non-coding RNA of Pezoporus occidentalis (night parrot), 4385 nucleotides long. RefSeq lists it as uncharacterized. The transcript has 2 exons. The record is from RefSeq and is a predicted model, not a curated record. NCBI's taxonomy places the organism in Eukaryota, Metazoa, Chordata, Aves, Psittaciformes, Psittacidae.
UGAGGUGUCCCUGCCCAUGGUGGGGGGGUUGGAACUUGAUGAUCUUAAGGUCCUUUCCAACCCUAACUAUUCUGUGAUUCUGUGCCAAGCUUUCAGUCUUCCCAGCUUCAGUUUUCUUUACUAGACACAGAAGAAAGAGCUGUAGCUGAAGAACAAGUCCACAGCGUCUAGCAAAUUGAGAAAAAUAAAGCGCACAUACACACACAAAACCAACUCCAAAAGCCAAUAAAAAGCAGUCCUGACUUCUUGUUUUCUCAGGUUUAUUUUACAGGUUAUUUAGCUCCUUAUGUGGAACUGUCUGGAUAGGCAGAUGUAAGCAGUGAUUUGUGGGAUGUAUUGAGGAGCAGUGUUCAGGUUUACCCCCCCCAGCAGGCAGAGGGUAACAGACACAAUAGCUUUAAUUCCCAUCUUUCCGUAAAAGGCUUGUCAAGUAGAAGCUUUGUGGUGGUGACUGUACAAAUACAGGGUUAGAAGCCAAGACACCAAUCUUCAGCUGGCCACAGCUGUGCUCACAACCCUUGCCACUGUGUAAAAAUGUUGCCAGACUAUUCAGCCAGAAAAGUGACGAAGAUGAGCCAAGGUAGUGAAUGGUAGUAUAGCUGCAGGCUUUAAAAUCAGCCUUCUGAGUCUGCUUAUCUGCCUUGGGUAGGCAGGAGAAAAGGGAUUAGUUUCUGAUGGCAUUUUAAUUUUCCAUAUACAACAGGAAAAAAAGGUGUAAUCUACUCUGGAAAAGAGAAGGCUCUGGUGAGACCUUGAGGCAGCAUUCUGGUACCUAAAGGAGCUGACAAGAAAGCUGUAGAGAGACUUUUGGCAAGGGCCUUUAGGGAUAGGACAAGGGGGAAUGACUUUAAACUGACCGAGGGUAGAUUUACAUUAGAUACCAGGAAGAAGUUCUUCCCUGUGAGAGUGGUGAGGUGCUGGCCCAGGUGGUCCAGCAAGGUCAGGGACAUGGGUUGGGACAACCCCUAGUAUCAGCAUAGGCUGGGCGUGAAGGGGUUGAGAGCAGCCUGUGGAGAAGGACCUGGGGGUACUGCUGUACGAAAAGCUGGAUGUGACCUGGCAGUGUGCAGCCUGGAAAGCUAACUGUAUGUUGGGCUGCAUCACCAGCAGUGUGACCAGCAGGUUGAGGGAGGUGAUUCUCCCACUCUCUUGCUCUGCUUAAGACCCCACCUGCAGUACUGCAUCCAGCUCUGGGGUCCCUAGCAUAGGAAGGACAUGGACCUGUGGAGUGAGUCCAGAGGAGUUCAUGAAGAUGCUUAUGGGCUGGAACACUUCUGCUAUGGAGACAGGCUGAGAGAGCUGGGCUUGUUCAGCCUGGAGAAGAGAAGGCUUCUGGGAGGCCUUAGAGCAGCUUCCAGUGCUCAAAAGCAGCUUAUAAGAAAGGUGGGAACAGACUUUUUGAUAGGGUCUGUUGUGACAGGAUAAGGGGUAGUGGUUUAAACUAAGAGAGGGUAGAUUCAGACCAAAUCUCAGGAGGAAAUCUUUUACAAUGAGGGUGGUGGGGCACUUUAACAGGUUGUCCUGAGAAGUUGUGGAUCCCUAAUCCCUGGAAACGUUCCAGGCCAGGUUGGACAGGGCUUUGAGGGACCUGAUCUAGUGGAAGGUGUCCCUGUUCAUUGAAGGGGGUUUGGAUUGGGUGAUCUUUAAGGUCCCGUCCAACACAAACUGUUCUAUGAUCUUUUUGGUUACUGUGUGUCUGAGAAUAUAAUACAUUUGGGGCAUGGUUAAAUGUGUUCGUUACUUGAUCUUUCCUGGGUCUUGUCUCUUUGCUUCCCUGACACCUGAUUUUAUUUGUAUUUUUGUACUUUCCAUAGCUUUGUAGUGUUGUAGGGAAGUUUACAUCUAAAUUCUGACCCUUCUCUUCAUUCAGAUUUAUGUAACACAGAAGCUGAUUCUGUUUUCCAGCUUCUCUUUCAUAAUGCAGAGUAACAGUGUUCCUGCUUUACCCCUUACUCAUCUUUGCUAUCUGUGUUCUGCAGCUGGUCAGUAUUGUAUUUCAGAGCCAUUAGUAGAGUUUACUUGCUAAAUGUGUAAAUCUGUCUCCUUCUGUUCUUUCUAGAUUGUCUUGUCUUGUAUUAAUCCUCCUUUUACUAAAGGCUUCAGCCUUUCUUUGACAAAAUAUAUUCAGAUGUGUAGAUCUUGCUUCUAUACAUGACAUACAAAGCCAUCAAACUUCCACUGGAGCAGCAAGAAUGCCUCCAGUGACUUCAAAUGAAAUCCACCUGGGGACCAGAUUAAAAAAUGCUAGCAGUUCACACCUGGGUUUCUGUGUAGACCAACAGCCAUUCCAACAGAAACCUCUUAAUGGGUUGGUGAGGAUGGCACAGCAGACAAGAUACUGACAAUAUCACUUCUCAAUUUCAUGCAGUGCUUCCGCUUGAGUAUUCAAGAACAAGUUUUCUUUUCCAGAGUCAGAUUUAUCAGCUUCAUACUUCUGGGAGUAAAUUAUAUACCAAACCAGUAACCUGUCCUCUUGUUUAAUAAAGGCUAACAGCAGGAAUGCUGAUAGCAAUAGCCUUUAGCUUUCUUAGAGCUGGUUCAGGCAAUUGCCUGCCUCACAAAGGCUAAACCUUGAAAGAUUUGUCUCUUCUUUUACCAAAGGCUUAAUGUCAUACUUGGAGGUGCUGUCUGUGAGUCUCUAUAAAUGCUACAAAGCACAUGUGUGUGCAGAUGCAGAUAAUGAGUGAAUAAAUGGAAAUACAAGAUUGUAGACAGUACUAACUUUGAUUCUGAAGUCUUCAGCUUCAGUUACAUCUUGCUAAGCAGAGCUAACUGCUAAGUUACAGAAAGUGUCAGCUACAGUCAGUGUCAAUGAUGCUAACUUCAAAAGGUAAAUCAUAAAGGAGUUGGUUCUGAUUGUGUAAUCCCGUAGGAAACAUUAGGCACAGUCUGAACAAGCUGCGUGCAUCUACAGUGGGAAGUUAACCUGGUUUCAUCAUCCAUAAGCACUCUAAGCAAAACAGCAUAUUCAUUAAACUGUGUUUGUUGGUAGUGGUGCUAGCUGUUAUAUGAAUGAAGGCUGGAAGACUUUUUUGGUAGGUGUGUUAGUUUUCAAGCAAGUUCUGCUGUCCUUUCAGCAUGUUUAACAGGAAAAUGAAAAUUGGACAUACUGGGAGAGGAUAACUUCUCUCUCUGAAGCUCUGUGGUUUGAAAGGAUGCUUGUAUGCUUUAUUUCCCUGAAAGCUAAGUGUCUCUGCUGUGCAGCUUUUAUUUUAAAGCAAGUACUAACUAGUUAGGUCUUACGGAGUAGAUUAACUGAACAGUGUGAAUGCUGCUUUACCUAUGGUGAAAAUGCAACCUUAAUACUCUUUCCUCAUCAUCUUGUCUGUGGAUUUGGUAUUUUGACAGAUGAGAACCAUGGUGUAAGCUCAUAAAUUUUCCAAGCUUGCUUAGUUUGCUGUGGAUGAGAGGUGCUAAGCAUCACUACAUAAAAUAGACAGGCAGUGUCUUAAACAAACAAGACUGUUUGAUCAACAGCACUGCCCUUUGCUAAGAGCUGAAAAUGUGGACAAGGGGACUUUCAGCACCUUCUAUGACAUGAGACAUUGAAAUUGUUAUUGAUACAUUUUAAAGGGUAUCUCCAUAACCUUGCUUUCCCACAUAUUAAUAAACCUCCUGGCAGAGGACAACUUCUAGAACCUAAUCUUAGCUUCAUCUGAGAGUCUGCAAUAGCUGAUCUCUUACAAAUAGACUUGAAUCUCCCACAGCAACAUGGAAAGUGUCUCAUAGGAAAAUAAAUCUGUACAAAUAGUGGCCAGAAUUAGUUGAAUAGCAAUAAUGCUUUUUCUCCAUCUUCGCUUCUAUGGUAUGUCUUAAAUUACACAUCUGGUUCACCUCUCUUCUGGUAACUGAGGAAUUAAGUUUUGUUUAUGAAACAAAUGUUCCUGUUGGAAGCUGAGUAUCUGUUUCUAGUCUUUUGAUGUGGCAGUGAUGAAAUCUGAAAUAUUAGUCAUAAACUCGUAAAUUCUUCUGUGUCGGAGGUUUCACAGUCAGGAUUCUGUUAGGAAGGUGUGUUAUAGGAAGGAAGCCACAUAGUGCUUAUCUGAUUUUUCUCUGCAGCUCUUGAAGUCUAUUGCCUAUUUAAAUAAUAAUGUGGCAUCAUAGGCUGUGGCUCCUUCUAGAGCUCUUCAAGAUUUCUUGAAGCAAAUGGCAUACCCUGCUUACCCUCUUUCUUAUUAUCCUGAAGUCACUAAAUUUCUGCAGCAGUACCAACUAUAUGACUGAGUGGUUUUGUAGCCUAAUUCUCUUCUCUGUGCGCAUAAUAAAUUCCUGGUACCUUUUUAAUACUGAAAACUUGCAGUAAUUGUUUCUUCUCUGGAAUAUUUUCUCUAACUACAGUUACCUCUGGUGUCAUCACAUGAAUAAAUAAAAUAAUUCGGUUUUGA